Molecule: ribosomal RNA, 484 nt
Filed under: uncultured bacterium
Lineage: Bacteria
Description: partial 16S ribosomal RNA
Rfam family: Bacterial small subunit ribosomal RNA
Source: RNAcentral
AUUGAACGCUGGCGGCAGGCCUAACACAUGCAAGUCGAGCGGAUGAAGGGAGCUUGCUCCUGGAUUCAGCGGCGGACGGGUGAGUAAUGCCUAGGAAUCUGCCUGGUAGUGGGGGAUAACGUCCGGAAACGGGCGCUAAUACCGCAUACGUCCUGAGGGAGAAAGUGGGGGAUCUUCGGACCUCACGCUAUCAGAUGAGCCUAGGUCGGAUUAGCUAGUUGGUGGGGUAAAGGCCUACCAAGGCGACGAUCCGUAACUGGUCUGAGAGGAUGAUCAGUCACACUGGAACUGAGACACGGUCCAGACUCCUACGGGGGGCAGCAGUGGGGAAUAUUGGACAAUGGGCGAAAGCCUGAUCCAGCCAUGCCGCGUGUGUGAAGAAGGUCUUCGGAUUGUAAAGGACUUUAAGUUGGGAGGAAGGGCAGUAAGUUAAUACCUUGCUGUUUUGACGUUACCAACAGAAUAAGCACCGGCUAACUUCGUG